UAGUAUCACACAUAUUUAUUGAAAGUUGGUUGUUUUGCGUUUUUAAUAUUUUUGCACUCCGAGAUAUCAGAAUUCCAAUAAAUGCGUACAUACAUACAUACAAUAAAUGAUACAUAUUGCGCAAAUAUUUUGUUAAUUAUGUUGUAAUUAUUAUAAUUAACUGUAAUUAGGUGCUUUGAUUUAUAUAUGUACACUGAGAGAAUAAGUCGAGAUAUUUAAAGGCAAAUUUAAAAAAAAUUAUCUAAUUUUUGCUAGAAAAAUAAAUUCCAUUCAAGCAAAUUAAUUUUCUUUGUAACAAUCAAUUAUUUGAUUAGAAUUAUUUAACAUUUAUAUAUAAAUAACAUUUAUUUUUAAAAAUUAAAUUAAUUUUUUUUAAAUAAAUCUACUAUUUUUUGGAAUUUCAAUAUUUAUUUUUGUUUGAUUUGUAUUGCAUCUUAUACAAUAACGACAAACUAUUCGUAGUCUAUGGUAUCGUCGUAUCGUUGGCGGUACAUUGUCUUAAUUAUAUACAAUCAAGCGACGCGGUAGCGGUAACGCUAAGUACAUAAAUACAUAAAGAAUUGUGUCGCAUCACGUAACUUCACUGCGCAAAUGUCAUACAUAAAGAAUCGUGCCGCGUGACGUAAAGUUCACUGCGCAAAUGUCACGCCGCUACUAAGCUUUAUUUCUGGAAUUUAGCUGUCAAAUUCACUUUCAGUUAAAAUAUCUCAGAAACUAAAAUUAUAAUAAAAAAAUCUAAUGGCAAUUUUAUUAUAUAAUAUUGAUGUGAGCUUUUGAUUGAGACCAGUUCGAUUAAAAUUGAUACACUCAAUUUUGAGAUCUCGAGAUCUUUUGCACGAAAAAGCUCACUUGAGUUAUUUUUCACAGAUUCACAUGUACACACACACACACAUAAAGUCAGUUUGUUUUUCAAGGGCCUUCACAAUGUGUCUACAUACAAUUUUAUAAACUAAAAUAAAAUUAUUUUGUAAUAUUUACAUGUACAUACAUGUAUACACACAUGCAAAGCCAGUUUGUCCUUCAAGAAGCUUCACAAUGUGCCUACAUACAAUUUUAUAAAACUAAAAUAUAUAAGAAAUUAUUUUGUAAUGUAAGUGGUGAAUAUGGCACUGAUCAUAUUCUACAUAAAAUAAUUGUACACGAUCAGAAUAUUCUACACAAAUAUAUUGUACACAAAAAAAUUGUAUGUGGAAAAAUUGUGCACAAGAAUUAUCCUUGAAUUAAAAAUUGCACACAGAACACAAAAACUGUGUAGUGAACAGUUUUUCUACGCACAAUAUAUUCGUGUGCAAUUUUACGCAAAAAAUUUAAUUAGUUAUUUAUUUUUUAAUAAAAUAAAAAAGUAAAUAAAUAAUAAUAACAUAGACAAAUAAUAUACAUAAUAUAUAUGUAAUAAAUGUCAAAAAUAAUAUAUUAUUAAUAAAAAAUUAAUAAAAUUACAAGCAUUUGAAUGUUCAAACUAUACGAUAAAAA
Monomorium pharaonis (pharaoh ant) is the source of this 1473-nucleotide long non-coding RNA. RefSeq lists it as uncharacterized. The record is from RefSeq and is a predicted model, not a curated record. The transcript is spliced from 2 exons. NCBI's taxonomy places the organism in Eukaryota, Metazoa, Arthropoda, Insecta, Hymenoptera, Formicidae.